This 253-nucleotide ribosomal RNA is filed under the name uncultured bacterium. Its description in RNAcentral is "partial 16S ribosomal RNA". It matches the Rfam family "Bacterial small subunit ribosomal RNA", at positions 524 to 776 of the family's 1533-position model. The record is from RNAcentral.
UACGUAGGGUGCGAGCGUUAAUCGGAAUUACUGGGCGUAAAGCGUGCGCAGGCGGUUCUGCAAGUCAGAUGUGAAAUCCCCGGGCUUAACCUGGGAACUGCGUUUGAAACUACGGAGCUAGAGUGCGGCAGAGGGGGGUGGAAUUCCACGUGUAGCAGUGAAAUGCGUAGAUAUGUGGAGGAACACCGAUGGCGAAGGCAGCCCCCUGGGCCGACACUGACGCUCAGGCACGAAAGCGUGAGGAGCAAACAGG